UGUGAAGAUGCAGUGUACCCGCGGCAAGACGGAAAGACCCCGUGAACCUUUACUAUAGCUUGACACUGAACAUUGAGCCUUGAUGUGUAGGAUAGGUGGGAGGCUUUGAAGUGUGGACGCCAGUCUGCAUGGAGCCGACCUUGAAAUACCACCCUUUAAUGUUUGAUGUUCUAACGUGGACCCGUAAUCCGGGUUGCGGACAGUGUCUGGUGGGUAGUUUGACUGGGGCGGUCUCCUCCUAAAGAGUAACGGAGGAGCACGAAGGUUGGCUAAUCCUGGUCGGACAUCAGGAGGUUAGUGCAAUGGCAUAAGCCAGCUUGACUGCGAGCGUGACGGCGCGAGCAGGUGCGAAAGCAGGUCAUAGUGAUCCGGUGGUUCUGAAUGGAAGGGCCAUCGCUCAACGGAUAAAAGGUACUCCGGGGAUAACAGGCUGAUACCGCCCAAGAGUUCAUAUCGACGGCGGUGUUUGGCACCUCGAUGUCGGCUCAUCACAUCCUGGGGCUGAAGUAGGUCCCAAGGGUAUGGCUGUUCGCCAUUUAAAGUGGUACGCGAGCUGGGUUUAGAACGUCGUGAGACAGUUCGGUCCCUAUCUGCCGUGGGCGCUGGAGAACUGAGGGGGGCUGCUCCUAGUACGAGAGGACCGGAGUGGACGCAUCACUGGUGUUCGGGUUGUCAUGCCAAUGGCACUGCCCGGUAGCUAAAUGCGGAAGAGAUAAGUGCUGAAAGCAUCUAAGCACGAAACUUGCCCCGAGA
RNAcentral lists this ribosomal RNA (753 nucleotides) under Salmonella enterica. RNAcentral describes it as "partial 23S ribosomal RNA". It matches the Rfam family "Bacterial large subunit ribosomal RNA", at positions 2052 to 2804 of the family's 2925-position model. The record is from RNAcentral. Lineage: Bacteria; Pseudomonadati; Pseudomonadota; Gammaproteobacteria; Enterobacterales; Enterobacteriaceae.